This 480-nucleotide ribosomal RNA is filed under the name uncultured bacterium. RNAcentral describes it as "bacterial SSU rRNA". It matches the Rfam family "Bacterial small subunit ribosomal RNA", at positions 37 to 518 of the family's 1533-position model. The record is from RNAcentral.
UGGCGGCGUGCUAACACAUGCAAGUCGAACGAGGCACCUUGCAGAAGUUUCGGAUGGAAGCGGAGGCGACCGAGUGGCGGACGGGUGAGUAACGCGUGGGGAACCUGCCCCAUUCCGGGGGAUACCAGUUGGAAACGACUGUUAAUACCGCAUAAGCGCACGGAAGGACAUCCUUUUGUGUGAAAAACUGAGGUGGAAUGGGAUGGCCCCGCGUCUGAUUAGCCAGUUGGCAGGGUAACGGCCUACCAAAGCGACGAUCAGUAGCCGGCCUGAGAGGGCGACCGGCCACAUUGGGACUGAGACACGGCCCAAACUCCUACGGGAGGCAGCAGUGGGGAAUAUUGCACAAUGGGGGAAACCCUGAUGCAGCGAACCGCCGCGUGAGUGAAGAAGUAUUUCGGUAUGUAAAGCUCUAUCAGCAGGGAAGAAGAUGACGGUACCUGCACAAGAAGCCCCGGCUAACUACGUGCCAGCCGCUGC